ACCACGAGAGGUGGGGACGUCAGGCGGAACGUGCCGGUGACAAACCGGAGGAAGGUGGGGACGACGUCAAGUCAUCAUGGCCCUUAUGUCCUGGGCUACACACGUGCUACAAUGGCCGGUACAGAGCGCAGCGAGGCCGCGAGGCGGAGCGAAUCGCUUAAAGCCGGUCCCAGUACGGAUUGGAGUCUGCAACCCGACUCCAUGAAGUUGGAAUCGCUAGUAAUCGCGCAUCAGCAUGGCGCGGUGAAUACGUUCCCGGGCCUU
This 264-nucleotide ribosomal RNA is filed under the name uncultured Spirochaeta sp. RNAcentral describes it as "partial 16S ribosomal RNA". It matches the Rfam family "Bacterial small subunit ribosomal RNA", at positions 1120 to 1382 of the family's 1533-position model. The record is from RNAcentral. Lineage: Bacteria; Pseudomonadati; Spirochaetota; Spirochaetia; Spirochaetales; Spirochaetaceae.